Callithrix jacchus (white-tufted-ear marmoset) is the source of this 307-nucleotide unclassified non-coding RNA. It matches the Rfam family "Metazoan signal recognition particle RNA". Rfam says of the family: The signal recognition particle (SRP) is a universally conserved ribonucleoprotein. It is involved in the co-translational targeting of proteins to membranes. NCBI's taxonomy places the organism in Eukaryota, Metazoa, Chordata, Mammalia, Primates, Cebidae. The record is from Ensembl.
CCCGGGUGCGGUGGCGCGUGCCUGUAGUCCCAGCUACUCGGGAGGCUGAGGUGGGAGGAUCGCUUGAGCCCAGGAGUUCUGGCUGCAGUGCGCUAUGCCGAUCGGGUGUCCGCACUAAGUUCGGCAUCAAUAUGGUGACCUCCUGGGAGCGGGGGACCACCAGGUUGCCUAAGGAGGGGUGAACUGGCCCAGGUCGGAAACGGAGCAGGUCAAAAAUUGAGCUUCCCAUAUGAUCCAGCAAUCCCACUACUGGGUAUAUACCCAAAAGAAAGGAAGUCUGUACAUCGAAGAGACACCUGUACAUCUA